RNAcentral lists this long non-coding RNA (234 nucleotides) under Manihot esculenta (cassava). RNAcentral describes it as "long non-coding RNA (MESC_LNC010243)". Lineage: Eukaryota; Viridiplantae; Streptophyta; Magnoliopsida; Malpighiales; Euphorbiaceae. The record is from RNAcentral.
CUAGGAACUUGAGUUUGGAACAGGUUCUGCAUGUCUGGGAAACUCAGGUUCGGCCGCCGAACCCCUUGGGGGAGGCUGUUUUGGCCGCCUAAACUCGCCCCCGAAAGUUUGAACUUUCGGCUCUGGAGGGGAGUUUCGGCCGCCGAACAUGCCGCCGAAGGUGGGUGACUUUCGGCUCUAGAAGGUCUUUCAGCCCCGAACCUUGCCCCCGAAAGUUUGGACUUUCUAAUUUGG